CACGUAGGGUGCGAGCGUUGUCCGGAAUUAUUGGGCGUAAAGAGCGUGUAGGCGGCCAGGUAGGUCUGCUGUGAAAACUCGAGGCUCAACCUCGAGACGUCGGCGGAAACCAUCUGGCUAGAGUCCGGAAGAGGAGAGUGGAAUUCCUGGUGUAGCGGUGAAAUGCGCAGAUAUCAGGAAGAACACCCGUGGCGAAGGCGGCUCUCUGGGACGGUACUGACGCUGAGACGCGAAAGCGUGGGGAGCGAACAGG
This 253-nucleotide ribosomal RNA is filed under the name uncultured bacterium. RNAcentral describes it as "partial 16S ribosomal RNA". It matches the Rfam family "Bacterial small subunit ribosomal RNA", at positions 524 to 776 of the family's 1533-position model. The record is from RNAcentral.